Molecule: ribosomal RNA, 115 nt
Filed under: Citrobacter koseri
Lineage: Bacteria; Pseudomonadati; Pseudomonadota; Gammaproteobacteria; Enterobacterales; Enterobacteriaceae
Also listed under: 6 other names
Description: partial 23S ribosomal RNA
Rfam family: Bacterial large subunit ribosomal RNA
Source: RNAcentral
UGACUCCUUGAGAGUCCUGAAGGAACGUUGAAGACGACGACGUUGAUAGGCCGGGUGUGUAAGCGCAGCGAUGCGUUGAGCUAACCGGUACUAAUGAACCGUGAGGCUUAACCUU